RNAcentral lists this long non-coding RNA (834 nucleotides) under Rattus norvegicus (Norway rat). RNAcentral's name for it is "long non-coding RNA NONRATT031980". Lineage: Eukaryota; Metazoa; Chordata; Mammalia; Rodentia; Muridae. The record is from RNAcentral.
AUGAUUCAGAGGAUGACAGUGGGUGUGAGGCUUGCUUCACUCUCGGUCUACAACCAGGCUGAAGUCUCUUAUGGAGAGGUCCGGCUGUGAGAGGAUUGUCCUGGGCUGGGGGGAGGGAGAGCAAAGUGGAUGAGGACCACAGCCCGCAGGAUGGAUGCUAGGGUUGACUGUGUGUGCAAGGCACAGUGCAAUGUGGUCCCCUUUAAUAUGCAUACACUGAGAUGUACUCUCUCCCACGUCAAUCAUCCUGUGGUCCACAUUUCGCACUAUCAGAGUGCCUCUUUGCCUUGGUUGAAAGCUGUCUGCCACUGUCCUGGACCUAUGUGGUAGCUGAAGUUAUUGUAAACAGUUUGUUGUUAUUUUAACUGAUUCCGGCUAGGGGAAGGAGGGAAUUAGCUGUUACUCCACACUGGGCCCUAAGACCUGAUCUCUGAAGCGGCACCCCUAUCUCCACAGCAGCAGCCGGGAUGCUGGGAAGAGUUUUUCACAGCCUCCCUCAGAAAAAUUGGCUCCAAAGACCUGGGAUGUUGGUGAUAACGGGACGAAGACAGCACACAGCGGAUGACAUUUUGAAGAACUAACCUGCAGAGAGUGGGAGGGAGGUGAUCGCCAGUACUCUCAGGGCCCUACUCCGUCCCUCUCCUAGCAAGCUUGGGGCUCGAAGCAGAGGGCACAACCGGUAGAGCAUAGGUCUCCUUAGACUCCCGCACACUUCCUUCCCCAGAACUGCAUUCUCUUCUCCCAGGCCUUCCUUCCCCCUAGGCGCCCUGCACCCAGACCCUCUAAGCUGGGCGCUGACGUUGCUAUUAGUCGGGGCUCCGUGCUGCUCCGCCU